Molecule: ribosomal RNA, 484 nt
Filed under: uncultured bacterium
Lineage: Bacteria
Description: partial 16S ribosomal RNA
Rfam family: Bacterial small subunit ribosomal RNA
Source: RNAcentral
AUUGAACGCUGGCGGCAGGCCUAACACAUGCAAGUCGAGCGGAGGAAGGGAGCUUGCUCCUGUAUUCAGCGGCGGACGGGUGAGUAAUGCCUAGGAAUCUGCCUGGUAGUUGGGGAUAACGUCCGGAAACGGGCGCUAAUACCGCAUACGUCCUGAGGGAGAAAGUGGGGGAUCUUCGGACCUCACGCUAUCAGAUGAGCCUAGGUCGGAUUAGCUAGUUGGUGGGGUAAAGUCCUACCAAGGCGACGAUCCGUAACUGGUCUGAGAGGAUGAUCAGUCACACUGGAACUGAGACACGGUCCAGACUCCUACGGGAGGCAGCAGUGGGGAAUAUUGGACAAUGGGCGAAAGCCUGAUGGAGCCAUGCCGCGUGUGUGAAGAAGGUCUUCGGAUUGUAAAGCACUUUAAGUUGGGAGGAAGGGCAGUAAGUUAAUACCUUGCUGUUUUGACGUUACCAACAGAAUAAGCCCCGGCUAACUUCGUG